UUGGAUCAACUUUUUGUCCACUGGACAUAGCAUAUUUAGAGCUUUCUAACAUAUACUAGUUGAAAGCCUGUGGGCUGUGCCACGAGCUUUUUAAUUUUCUUUUGCCCAACUGCACGCACAUGAUACAAGGCAUAUAAAAAAUAAUAGUUCUAAAUUUUUCUCUGGUUACCUGUCUUGUUGCCAUGGGUCUUUUAAUUCGUUUUUCUGAUUGCACGUAUGAAUAUAAUACGUAACUGUUUCGCACUCGCCCUACUCUGUCUAACACCCUCCAUCUCUCUCCAUACCCAUCUCUCUCCCACGCCCUCUCUCAC
RNAcentral lists this long non-coding RNA (311 nucleotides) under Hordeum vulgare. RNAcentral's name for it is "long non-coding RNA (HVUL_LNC017444)". Lineage: Eukaryota; Viridiplantae; Streptophyta; Magnoliopsida; Poales; Poaceae. The record is from RNAcentral.